GACGAACGCUGGCGGCGUGCUUAACACAUGCAAGUCGAACGGAAAGGCCCUGCUUUUGUGGGGUGCUCGAGUGGCGAACGGGUGAGUAACACGUGAGUAACCUGCCCUUGACUUUGGGAUAACUUCAGGAAACUGGGGCUAAUACCGGAUAGGAGCUCCUGCUGCAUGGUGGGGGUUGGAAAGUUUCGGCGGUUGGGGAUGGACUCGCGGCUUAUCAGCUUGUUGGUGGGGUAGUGGCUUACCAAGGCUUUGACGGGUAGCCGGCCUGAGAGGGUGACCGGCCACAUUGGGACUGAGAUACGGCCCAGACUCCUACGGGAGGCAGCAGUGGGGAAUAUUGCACAAUGGGCGGAAGCCUGAUGCAGCAACGCCGCGUGCGGGAUGACGGCCUUCGGGUUGUAAACCGCUUUCGCCUGUGACGAAGCGUGAGUGACGGUAAUGGGGAAAGAAGCACCGGCUAACUACAG
This 467-nucleotide ribosomal RNA is filed under the name uncultured bacterium. Its description in RNAcentral is "partial 16S ribosomal RNA". It matches the Rfam family "Bacterial small subunit ribosomal RNA", at positions 28 to 506 of the family's 1533-position model. The record is from RNAcentral.